CAGUAGCCGCGGUAAUACGAAGGGUGCAAGCGUUACUCGGAAUUACUGGACGUAAAGCGUGCGUAGGUGGUGGUUUAAGUCCGUUGUGAAAGCCCUGGGCUCAACCUGGGAAUUGCAGUGGAUACUGGGUCACUAGAGUGUGGUAGAGGAUAGUGGAAUUUCCGGUGUAGCAGUGAAAUGCGUAGAGAUCGGAAGGAACAUCUGUGGCGAAGGCGACUAUCUGGGCCAACACUGACACUGAGGCACGAAAGCGUGGGGAGCAAACAGGAUUAGAUACCCCCGUAGUCCCUGUCUCUUAUAC
RNAcentral lists this ribosomal RNA (301 nucleotides) under uncultured bacterium. RNAcentral describes it as "partial 16S ribosomal RNA". It matches the Rfam family "Bacterial small subunit ribosomal RNA", at positions 509 to 807 of the family's 1533-position model. The record is from RNAcentral.